GUGCUCGCUUCAGCAGCACAUAUACUAAAAUUGGAACGAUAGAAGAUUUAGCAUGGCCCCGGUGCAAAGAAGACACGCAAAUUUGUGAAGCAUUCCAUAUUUUU
Molecule: small nuclear RNA, 104 nt
Organism: Eptesicus fuscus (big brown bat)
Lineage: Eukaryota; Metazoa; Chordata; Mammalia; Chiroptera; Vespertilionidae
Source: RefSeq, a predicted model, not a curated record